CGGACGGGUGAGUAACACGUGGGUAACCUGCCUGUAAGACUGGGAUAACUCCGGGAAACCGGGGCUAAUACCGGAUGCUUGAUUGAACCGCAUGGUUCAAUCAUAAAAGGUGGCUUUUAGCUACCACUUACAGAUGGACCCGCGGCGCAUUAGCUAGUUGGUGAGGUAACGGCUCACCAAGGCGACGAUGCGUAGCCGACCUGAGAGGGUGAUCGGCCACACUGGGACUGAGACACGGCCCAGACUCCUACGGGAGGCAGCAGUAGGGAAUCUUCCGCAAUGGACGAAAGUCUGACGGAGCAACGCCGCGUGAGUGAUGAAGGUUUUCGGAUCGUAAAACUCUGUUGUUAGGGAAGAACAAGUACCGUUCGAAUAGGGCGGUACCUUGACGGUACCUAACCAGAAAGCCACGGCUAACUACGUGCCAGCAGCCGCGGUAAUACGUAGGUGGCAAGCGUUGUCCGGAAUUAUUGGGCGUAAAGCGCGCG
This 488-nucleotide ribosomal RNA is filed under the name Bacillus licheniformis. RNAcentral describes it as "bacterial SSU rRNA". It matches the Rfam family "Bacterial small subunit ribosomal RNA", at positions 99 to 571 of the family's 1533-position model. The record is from RNAcentral. Lineage: Bacteria; Bacillati; Bacillota; Bacilli; Caryophanales; Bacillaceae.